CUCUCUCUCUCUCUAGAGUUUUUUUCCUCAAAGAGGAUGGGAAUUGGCUCUAUUUCUCUGUCUACAUGCAACUUGAUUUUGGUGUUUUCUCCUCUGACUAAAGUUUCUUGCUCAAAUGAGUAUUCCAAUCUGCUUUCUCUCCCUACAUACAAGCUUGAUUUUUGGGGCAUGAGAUGGGCUCUGUGAUACUCAUUUCAGCAAGCAACCUUACACUGGAGGUUAUUAUCAUAAAGAUGAUUUUGGGCAUCUCUCUCUAGGUUUGGGCAAGACAACGCUACCAGGUAAAUCAAGUUUCUCUCUCUAGGUUGAUUAUAGCAAAAGAGAAGCUGAUUCUUGGCAAGACAACAUUACCAGGUAUCUCUCUCUCUCUCUAAAUCAGGACAGGUAAAUUUUCUCUUUCUAAGGUCAUAUGAAAUUUUAGCAUAUUUCCAUAUAUGUAGCAGGUAUUAACAUGGAAGUCUUUUGCAACCGUCACUACCUAACUCUUUCUCUCUCUAAAUCUUUCAGGUAGUUAGGAAGCAAAAAUCUAACUCGCCAAAGGCUGGUUCCGAGUUACUGGUUCAAUCGGCCUGACCUAGAAAGUCUUAAAUGAUAAAAAAAAAAAUUAAAAAAUCAAAAGUAAAACAUAAAAAUUCAAAAAAAAUUACGAAAGUUAGAUUUAAAGCAUGAUUAAAUAGAGUACAUCUAAAUGAAGUUAAAAAGUACGAAAACAAUUGAUUUAAAAAAAAAUCGAUCGGUGCAAAUAUUUUAAAAAAUAUAUGAAGAAAAUGUAAAAAUAAAUAUGCAUUUCCAUAAUACUCUCCUGCUAAAGUGAUAAUAAACAUUCAAAAAUACAUUACAAAUAAAUCUUUUAUUUUGUGAGAUUUUAUAUAUAUUUUUCACAUAGCUCUUUUUAUAAAAAAAACGCCUUUUGUUUUUUAGUAAAAGUCCCGUUUUUUAGUGAUAUCCUUCGGUCUCUUAAAAUAUCAGACGGUUUGUCUAAAGGCCGUAUUGGGUACGUGGGUGGGGUCCGACUCCGAAACCGGGUUUAGUUGGGAUCGGCAGGGCCCUGGUUCCGAGUUGAAACGGCCGUUAUUGCGAACACGGUUGGGAAGUCACAGGGUACCUAUUUCUCUCUCUAAAUUUUUUGGCAGGUGGUUAAGUCCCUCUAAUGCAUAAUAAGAUCGACCGCUCAUAUUAAGUUGAGGGUGCAACCUGAUGCAGGAGAUUAUCAAUGGAGUUUUGGAAGAGAUUGAGAUAUAUGCCGUGGAAUCUCUCUCUCUCUCUCUCUUGUGAAAUGGAAUCGAACUUGAGACAAGUCGAAGUCUUCAACAAAGCCAUGAACCAAGCCUUUUUAUUCAGACAUGAUAAUCAUCGAGAGGGGGAGAGUGAUUUCGAUCUCUCUCUCUCCCUAUCCCUCUCUUCUCUCUCAAACUGUUUCUCUCUCUAACUGAAACUGAUCUUCCAAAUUUGAGGGAUACACCCUCUCUCAGUAUCUCCUCUUUGUAAGUCUGUGUUAUUCUCUGAAUAAAUAUUUAUCUGUUUCUCCA
Amborella trichopoda is the source of this 1529-nucleotide non-coding RNA. NCBI's taxonomy places the organism in Eukaryota, Viridiplantae, Streptophyta, Magnoliopsida, Amborellales, Amborellaceae. The record is from RefSeq and is a predicted model, not a curated record.